CCUACGAGUGGCAGCAGUGGGGAAUAUUGCGCAAUGGGCGAAAGCCUGACGCAGCGACGCCGCGUGAGGGAUGAAGGUCUUCGGAUCGUAAACCUCUGUCAGCAGGGAAGCACGGUCACUGUGCUAAUCAGCAGUGAAUUGACGGUACCUGCAAAGGAAGCACCGGCUAACUCCGUGCCAGCAGCCGCGGUAAUACGGAGGGUGCGAGCUGUAAUCGGAAUUACUGGGCGGAAGGCGCGCGUAGGCGGUAUGUCAAGUCAAGGGUGAAAUCCCCGCGCUCAACGUGGGAACUGCCUUUGAAACUGGCAAACUUGAGUGUGUGAGAGGAUAGUGGAAUUCCAGGUGUAGGAGUGAAAUCCGUAGAUAUCGGGAGGAACAUCAGUGGCGAAGGCGACUAUCUGGCACAUAACUGACGCUGAGGAGCGAAAGCGUGGGUAGCAAACAGGAUUAGAUACCCCAGUAGUC
This 465-nucleotide ribosomal RNA is filed under the name uncultured bacterium. Its description in RNAcentral is "partial 16S ribosomal RNA". It matches the Rfam family "Bacterial small subunit ribosomal RNA", at positions 338 to 795 of the family's 1533-position model. The record is from RNAcentral.